UCAAAUGUUGUGUGUGGUCGUGUUAUUGCUUGAGUUGAGUCUAUAAAAACCGUUAACGAAAAGCAGAAGAAUCUUUGGAAUCACUGAACUGAAGAAGACGGUGCUGAGAGAGAGAGAGAGAGUUGAAAAUGGUGAAGAGAGAGGAGUUCCUGAGAGAAAAUGACCACAACGAAAAUUCUUCUGUCUCGCGCAGCGACUUCCCUCCAAACUUCGUCUUCGGAGUUGCCACUUCUGCAUACCAGGUUCCUGCCAAUGCAGAUUCAUUCUUCCAAUAUUUUAUGUCACUUUGAACAGCAUUUUGUUGCCAAAUGUGAAUGCCUUGAUUCUUUAUUUUACCUCUUUAAUCCUAUUAAAUAUUCUGUUGGUCUAUGUUUUUAGCAAAAGAAGAAAGAGAAAAAGUUGUGUUGUUGUUAUUGAACUUUCUGUAUGUAUGUAAUGUAGUGAAUCUAAAAAUUAUGACAGUCGAAGAGUACACAAGAAAGUCGGUUAGAUAUUUAUUAUAUAAUGUAACGUGUACAGUAUAAAAUAUUAACCGAGUGGUUACAAAAUACCAACCGGAUAUUCAGGUAAUCUGUUUAUAUCUUAUUCUGUUUAUAUUUUAUUGGGCUUAUAUCAGCUUAAGAUCCAUGAGGUAAAUUAUAAAUACAAAGCCAGGGCCGAAAGCCAGGUACGUUCCACUUACACAUUAUUCGCUCUACGCUACUCUCAAAUACUCAAUAGUGAUAAUCAUUCACUAAAUAUUCAACUAAGAGCCGAGGCUCUUCAAAUCACACGCCUAACUUGAGUGUCGGAGUAUCUUUUGCAGGUACAUCCACCCUCGUCAAGAAGGAGACCGAUCGGCUUGCGCCAAUACCGAUCGGCCAACAGUAGGAGUUUGGAAGCGAGCGAGCGGCCUAGACGCGUCAGCAGAUAAAAGGUGGUUGCAAGGAGGGUGGUAGAGGUCCUAGCAUAUGGGAUGCCUUCUCACACACUGACAGAAAAAAUAUUGACAAAAGCAAUGGUGAUGUUGCAGUUGAUCAUUAUCAUCGGUACAUGGAAGAUAUUGAUCUAAUAGCCAAGUUGGGAUUUGAUGCUUACAGAUUUUCCAUUUCGUGGUCUCGUAUUUUUUCUGAUGGCUUAGGAACCAAAAUCAAUGACGAAGGGAUAACUUUUUAUAACAACAUUAUAAAUUCUCUUCUUGAAAGAGGCAUACAACCUUAUGUAACGUUGUACCAUUGGGAUCUUCCUCUUCAUCUUCAUGAGACAAUGGGAGGAUGGUUAAAUAAACAAAUCGUGUAGGUCUCAUGUAAUUGAGUUUUUAUUCUACAAUCUGGUUCUUUUCAAAUAAUCAUAAAAUUGAUUUGUAUUGUGCUUGAAAGUAGUAGUCUGAGAGGUAACCUAUUUCUGUGGGGCUGGAAUGAUUAUGUUGAUUGUAUAUAUUUUAUGACUUAUAAUUAUGACUAUUGUUAGAUGUUAAGAUGUGUGUUUCUGUUAAUUGGGCUCAGUCCAUUCUGUAUUAUGGGCAUUGGCCCAUAUCUUACAUUAUAAAUAAACUACCCUCAAGAGAUAUUU
Long non-coding RNA from Vigna angularis (adzuki bean), 1551 nucleotides. RefSeq lists it as uncharacterized. Lineage: Eukaryota; Viridiplantae; Streptophyta; Magnoliopsida; Fabales; Fabaceae. The transcript is spliced from 6 exons. The record is from RefSeq and is a predicted model, not a curated record.